GGGGAUCCAUAAUAAACCCCAGGAAGAGUAGCUGCUGCCUUGGCAGGAACUAAUGGGGAUCCAUAAUAAACCCCAGGAAGAGUAGCUGCUGCCUUGGCAGGAACUAAUGGGGAUCCAUAAUAAACCCCAGGAAGAGUAGCUGCUGCCUUGACAGGAACUAAUGGGGAUCCAUAAUAAACCCCAGGAAGAGUAGCUGCUGCCUUGGCAGGAACUAAUGGGGAUCCAUAAUAAACCCCAGGAAGAGUAGCUGCUGCCUUGACAGGAACUAAUGGGGAUCCAUAAUAAACCCCAGGGAGAGUAGCUGCUGCCUUGGCAGGAACUAAUGGGGAUCCAUAAUAAACCCCAGGAAGAGUAGCUGCUGCCUUGACAGGAACUAAUGGGGAUCCAUAAUAAACCCCAGGAAGAGUAGCUGCUGCCUUGGCAGGAACUAAUGGGGAUCCAUAAUAAACCACAGGAAGAGUAGCUGCUGCCUUGGCAACAGGAACUAAUGGGGAUCCAUAAUAAACCCCAGGAAGAGUAGCUGCUGCCUUGGCAACAGGAACUAAUGGGGAUCCAUAAUAAACCCCAGGAAGAGUAGCCUUCUAUUAUAAAGGCUGUCAUGGUAACAAGCGUUCUAUUAUAAAGGCUGUCAUGGUAACAAGCGUUCUAUUAUAAAGGCUGUCAUGGUAACAAGCGUUCUAUUAUAAAGGCUGUCAUGGUAACAAGCGUUCUAUUAUAAAGGCUGUCAUGGUAACAAGCAUUCUAUUAUAAAGGCUGUCAUGGUAACAAGCGUUCUAUUAUAAAGGCUGUCAUGGUAACAAGCGUUCUAUUAUAAAGGCUGUCGUGGUAACAAGCGUUCUAUUAUAAAGGCUGUCGUGGUAACAAGCGUUCUAUUAUAAAGGCUGUCGUGGUAACAAGCGUUCUAUUAUAAAGGCUGUCAUGGUAACAAGCGUUCUAUUAUAAAAGCUGUCAUGGUAACAAGCAUUCUAUUAUAAAGGCUGUCAUGGUAACAAGCGUUCUAUUAUAAAGGCUGUCGUGGUAACAAGCGUUCUAUUAUAAAUGCUGUCAUGGUAACAAGCGUUCUAUUAUAAAGGCUGUCAUGGUAACAAGCGUUCUAUUAUAAAUGCUGUCAUGGUAACAAGCGUUCUAUUAUAAAUGCUGUCAUGGUAACAAGCGUUCUAUUAUAAAGCUGUCAUGGUAACAAGCAUUCUAUUAUAAAGGCUGUCAUGGUAACAAGCGUUCUAUUAUAAAGGCUGUCAUGGUAACAAGCGUUCUAUUAUAAAGGCUGUCAUGGUAACUGCAAUAUUAGUGGAUUGUUUUUUUCUCAAGACUUGAGUGUCAUUUGCAGUAAAGUCCAGGAAACAAAUAACAUUGGAUUGUUUUCGUUAUUCACAAUUCCGAUGAACAAAUAAGGUUUUACAUGUAAGAUGGUUAAAUAAAGAGCAAAAUAAUUGAUCAUUAUUAUAUUAUUAUUUGUGCCCUGGUCCUAUAAGAACUCUUUGUCACUUCCCACGAGCCGGAUUGUGACAAAACCUCACACUCAUUCUUAUGUUUAAUAAAUGUAUCGUAUAGUGUGUGUGUGGCAGACUUACAAUGACGGCAACAACAACAUUUGAGAGUGCCCUGAUCCUGGUGCUAGAGGGGGUACAGCUGGAGGGUGAAUGUUUGAAGGGGUACAGCUGGAGGGUGAAUGUUUGAAGGGGUACAGCUGGAGGGUGAAUGUUUGAAGGGGUACAGCUGGAGGGUGAAUGUUUGAAGGGGUACAGCUGGAGGGUGAAUGUUUGAAGGGGUACAGCUGGAGGGUGAAUGUUUGAAGGGGUACAGCUGGAGGGUGAAUGUUUGAAGGGGUACAGCUGGAGGGUGAAUGUUUGAAGGGGUACAGCUGGAGGUUGAAUGUUUGAAGGGGUACAGCUGGAGGGUGAAUGUUUGAAGGGGUACAGCUGGAGGGUGAAUGUUUGAAGGGGUACAGCUGGAGGGUGAAUGUUUGAAGGGGUACAGCUGGAGGGUGAAUGUUUGAAGGGGUACAGCUGGAGGGUGAAUGUUUGAAGGGGUACAGCCGGAGGUUGAAUGUUUGAAGGGGUACAGCUGGAGGUUGAAUGUUUGAAGGGGUACAGCUGGAGGGUGAAUGUUUGUUUGUUUAAUUAGUUAAAACCUGCAUUUCCCACUAGCAUGGCAUGUUUCAUUCAAGGGUUUAUCUUCAUUUUGACAAUUUUCUACAUUGAAGAAUAAUAGUGAAGACAUCAACACUAUGAAAUAACACAUAUGGAAUCAUGUAGUAACCAAAUAAGUGUUAAACAAAUCAAAAUAUAUUUUAUAUUUGAGGUUCUUCAAAG
This 2312-nucleotide long non-coding RNA is filed under the name Salmo salar (Atlantic salmon). Its description in RNAcentral is "lncRNA (ENSSSAG00000118049.1)". The record is from RNAcentral. Lineage: Eukaryota; Metazoa; Chordata; Actinopteri; Salmoniformes; Salmonidae.